GUGGGGAAUCUUGCGCAAUGGGCGAAAGCCUGACGCAGCCAUGCCGCGUGAAUGAUGAAGGUCUUAGGAUUGUAAAAUUCUUUCACCGGGGACGAUAAUGACGGUACCCGGAGAAGAAGCUCCGGCUAACUUCGUGCCAGCAGCCGCGGUAAGACGAAGGGGGCUAGCGUUGCUCGGAAUUACUGGGCGUACAGGGCGCGUAGGCGGACAGCUUAGUCAGGGGUGAAAGCCCAGGGCUCAACCUUGGAAUUGCCUUGGAUAGUGGCUGUCUUGAGUUUGGGAGAGGUGAGUGGAAUUCCGAGUGUAGAGGUGAAAUUCGUAGAUAUUCGGAAGAACACCAGUGGCGAAGGCGGCUCACUGGACUGGUAUUGACGCUGAGGUGCGAAAGCGUGGGGAGCAAACAGGAUUAGAUACCCGAGUAGUCC
RNAcentral lists this ribosomal RNA (425 nucleotides) under uncultured bacterium. RNAcentral's name for it is "partial 16S ribosomal RNA". It matches the Rfam family "Bacterial small subunit ribosomal RNA", at positions 354 to 796 of the family's 1533-position model. The record is from RNAcentral.